This 253-nucleotide ribosomal RNA is filed under the name uncultured bacterium. Its description in RNAcentral is "partial 16S ribosomal RNA". It matches the Rfam family "Bacterial small subunit ribosomal RNA", at positions 524 to 776 of the family's 1533-position model. The record is from RNAcentral.
UACGGGGGGGGCAAGCGUUGUUCGGAAUUACUGGGCGUAAAGGGCUCGUAGGCGGCCAACUAAGUCAGACGUGAAAUCCCUCGGCUUAACCGGGGAACUGCAUCUGAUACUGGAUGGCUUGAGUUCGGGAGAGGGAUGCGGAAUUCCAGGUGUAGCGGUGAAAUGCGUAGAGAUCAGGAAGAACACCAGUGGCGAAGGCGACUAUCUGGGCUUUAACUGACGCUGAGGCGCGAAGGCCGGGGGAGCAAACAGG